CUGCAUUUUCCUUGACGGAGACGCACAGCUCUGACACUAGACAAUAUUAUACACUCAAAGGGACCGCGUUUCGCCAGAAGAAUAAAUAAUUACAAAUGGUAUUCGUCAGUGAACAUUUUCAAACUGGGAAUAAUAUAUCAUAAGCAGAUUGAAAUGUGUGAACGUUUCAGUGUUUCGAAGACUAAGUUUCGUAGCAGAUUUUGAUUCCGUCACGGGGUUUACUCCGUCGUCAAACCCGUUGCCAUUCAUGGAAUUUACUUCUCAACAAGGAAAGACAAACUUCUUUGAAAGAAGACUAAGUGUACACCAAUUACCUUCAGUUGUACUCUGAAUCAUGUUUGUGAAUAAAAUUAUUUAUCAAAGACUUAUUCAUAAUAUUAUAAGAAAACUUUAUUUUUAAAUUUUAUAAUUGAAGUGAAAAGUAUUAA
Molecule: long non-coding RNA, 428 nt
Organism: Metopolophium dirhodum (rose-grain aphid)
Lineage: Eukaryota; Metazoa; Arthropoda; Insecta; Hemiptera; Aphididae
Exons: 3
Source: RefSeq, a predicted model, not a curated record